UGUACACACCGCCCGUCGCUACUACCGAUUGAAUGGCUCAGUGAGGCCUUUGGACUGGCUCGGAGAGGUUGGCAACGACCACUCCGAGCCGGAAAGUUGGACGAACUCGGUCAUUUAGAGGAAGUAAAAGUCGUAACAAGGUUUCCGUAGGUGAACCUGCGGAAGGAUCAUUA
Molecule: ribosomal RNA, 173 nt
Filed under: uncultured fungus
Lineage: Eukaryota; Fungi
Description: partial 18S ribosomal RNA
Rfam family: Eukaryotic small subunit ribosomal RNA
Source: RNAcentral